Molecule: ribosomal RNA, 545 nt
Filed under: uncultured bacterium
Lineage: Bacteria
Description: bacterial SSU rRNA
Rfam family: Bacterial small subunit ribosomal RNA
Source: RNAcentral
UGAUCCAGCCAUGCCGCGUGAGUGAAGAAGGCCUUCGGGUUGUAAAGCUCUUUCGGCCGGGAAGAAAUCGCAUAGGCUAAUACCCUGUGUGGAUGACGGUACCGGAAUAAGAAGCACCGGCUAACUACGUGCCAGCAGCCGCGGUAAUACGUAGGGUGCGAGCGUUAAUCGGAAUUACUGGGCGUAAAGCGUGCGCAGGCGGUUUAGUAAGACAGGCGUGAAAUCCCCGGGGCUCAACCUGGGAACUGCGCUUGUGACUGCUAAGCUAGAGUACGGCAGAGGGGGGUGGAAUUCCACGUGUAGCAGUGAAAUGCGUAGAGAUGUGGAGGAACACCGAUGGCGAAGGCAGCCCCCUGGGCCGAUACUGACGCUCAUGCACGAAAGCGUGGGUAGCAAACAGGAUUAGAUACCCUGGUAGUCCACGCCCUAAACGAUGUCAACUAGGUGUUGGGAGGGUAAAACCUUUUAGUACCGGAGCUAACGCGUGAAGUUGACCGCCUGGGGAGUACGGCCGCAAGGUUAAAAACUCAAAGGAAUUGACGGGG